Molecule: long non-coding RNA, 695 nt
Filed under: Ananas comosus (pineapple)
Lineage: Eukaryota; Viridiplantae; Streptophyta; Magnoliopsida; Poales; Bromeliaceae
Description: long non-coding RNA (ACOM_LNC037248)
Source: RNAcentral
GCUCCAUCUUCAAUGAAUUAAGAAACGAUCAGAUUCAAUGAAAGAAGAUGAAUAAUGAAGUAAGUGGGCCCUAUAGUCAAUAUUUAAGGUAAACUUGACAUAUGGACAAAAUUAUAGAAAUUUAUUAUAGUUUAUAAAUUAUAGAUUAUAGAUAAUUUCAUGUGUUGUUUACUGUUGUAAUUAAAGUGUAAUACCUUGUUAGUAGGGAUGGCAAAGGAUCAGGUUCGGAGCGAAUUUUAAAAAAUCCGAAUUCGAACCCGACUACCAAAUUCGAAACCCGAAGUGGGGUGGGUUUCCAAAAACUCGAAUUCGAACCCGAUUAUCAAAUCUGAAAUCUAAACCCAAACCCUAAUCUGACAGAUUUUAUAAAUCCAUAUCCAAACCUGAACACGAACCCAAACGCGAACCCGAAUCUCUCUCUCUCUCAUCCGCACUCCGACCGCGCUCGGUCCACUCGCGAUCCCGGCCCCCCGCUCUCUCGCGAGGAGGACGACGACGAGGGCAAAGAGGAGGUUGUGCCGUGGUUGCGAAAUCUAGGGUUUUCCCUCUCUCAGCCGCUCCCUCUCUCCCUUUCAGUCUACCCAGCUUUAAUCCUAGUCAUCUUGCAGACUGCACACUUUCCUCUUCUUCUCCCUCGCAACCUUCCCUCGACGAUGGCCGCCGAGCCCAAAACUAAGUACGAUCGCCAACUCAGG